GAUGAACGCUGGCGGCGUGCCUAAUACAUGCAAGUCGAGCGAACAGACGAGGAGCUUGCUCCUCUGACGUUAGCGGCGGACGGGUGAGUAACACGUGGAUAACCUACCUAUAAGACUGGGAUAACUUCGGGAAACCGGAGCUAAUACCGGAUAAUAUAUUGAACCGCAUGGUUCAAUAGUGAAAGACGGUUUUGCUGUCACUUAUAGAUGGAUCCGCGCCGCAUUAGCUAGUUGGUAAGGUAACGGCUUACCAAGGCAACGAUGCGUAGCCGGACUGAGAGGGGGAUCGGCCACACCGGAACUGAGACACGGUCCAGACUCCUACGGGAGGAAGCAGUAGGGAAUCUUCCGCAAUGGGCGAAAGCCUGACGGAGCAACGCCGCGUGAGUGAUGAAGGUCUUCGGAUCGUAAAACUCUGUUAUUAGGGAAGAACAAAUGUGUAAGUAACUAUGCACGUCUUGACGGUACCUAAUCAGAAAGCCACGGCUAACUACGUGCCAGCAGCCGCCGUAA
Molecule: ribosomal RNA, 513 nt
Filed under: uncultured bacterium
Lineage: Bacteria
Description: partial 16S ribosomal RNA
Rfam family: Bacterial small subunit ribosomal RNA
Source: RNAcentral